This 603-nucleotide ribosomal RNA is filed under the name uncultured bacterium. Its description in RNAcentral is "bacterial SSU rRNA". It matches the Rfam family "Bacterial small subunit ribosomal RNA", at positions 29 to 629 of the family's 1533-position model. The record is from RNAcentral.
AUGAACGCUGGCGGCGUGCCUAACACAUGCAAGUCGAACGAAGCGCCUGGCCCCGACUUCUUCGGAACGAGGAGCCUUGCGACUGAGUGGCGGACGGGUGAGUAACGCGUGGGCAACCUGCCUUGCACUGGGGGAUAACAGUUAGAAAUGGCUGCUAAUACCGCAUAAGACCACGGUACCGCAUGGUACAGUGGUAAAAACUCCGGUGGUAUGAGAUGGACCCGCGUCUGAUUAGGUAGUUGGUGAGGUAACGGCCCACCAAGCCGACGAUCAGUAGCCGACCUGAGAGGGUGACCGGCCACAUUGGGACUGAGACACGGCCCAAACUCCUACGGGAGGCAGCAGUGGGGAAUAUUGCACAAUGGGGGAAACCCUGAUGCGGCGACGCCGCGUGAAGGAUGAAGUAUUUCGGUAUGUAAACUUCUAUCAGCAGGGGAAGAAAAUGACGGUACCUGACUAAGAAGCCCCGGCUAACUACGUGCCAGCAGCCGCGGUAAUACGUAGGGGGCAAGCGUUAUCCGGAUUUACUGGGUGUAAAGGGAGCGUAACGGCUGUGGUAAGUCUGAUGUGAAAACCCGGGGGCUCAACCCGGGACUGCGUUGG